Molecule: long non-coding RNA, 691 nt
Organism: Acanthochromis polyacanthus (spiny chromis)
Lineage: Eukaryota; Metazoa; Chordata; Actinopteri; Pomacentridae
Exons: 3
Source: RefSeq, a predicted model, not a curated record
CUGUCUGUCUCUCUCUCUCUCUGUUGGUGGCACUGGGAUCCACAGGCGUUUUUUGGAGGACAGGAACAGGACAGGACACGCACCCUCUUGCACCACCACCACCACCACCACCACCACAGACAUGUCGGACUCCGAAGCCGCCGCUGCCCCCGCCGAGGCCCCCGUCCCCGCUGCUUGUGCCAGUAUCAAGGCUGACCUGGACAAAUGCGUGGCGGAGAAGGGAGCUGAGGGCUGCAAAGAUCUGAUGGAGGCCUUCGCUGCUUGUGUGAAGAACGCUGCUGAGGGGACGUCAUGAGGAGUCGCCCUGCAGCCUCCAAUGUCCACUGCACUGAGUCCUCCAAGUUCCCAGCAUUCCCUUCUGCACAACAGCACUGGACUGAAUGAUGACAACAACGACGACGACGACGAUGAUGAUGAUGAUGAUGAUCGUAGCGCAACAUGUUGAUCUGUUGAUUCGGGCUGAGUUUGGGAUCUGGCGGCAGUAACCACAGUUUCCUCCCCCUGUCCUCCCCCCUCCUGUUUUAGUCUUAUCUGGUGUCCCUGUCUUACCGCCGUUCCCCUUCUCCCUCUACAGCUGACUUGCAGUAAACGGGCAAUUCCAGAGGGCCGAUGGGCUGUGAUGUAAAUUGUCGACUUGAAAUGAAUACUUAUAAAAGGAAAUAAAAGUAUCAAAAAAUUGGUAUAAUAAGAA